GGCUUAACACACGCAAGUCGAGGGGCAUCGGGAGUAGCAAUACUUGCCGGCGACCGGCGCACGGGUGCGUAACACGUAUGUAAUCUGCCCAUCACAGGAGGAUAGCCCGGAGAAAUUCGGAUUAAUACUCCAUAAUAGAUUGAGUAGCAUUACUUGAUUUUGAAAGUUCCGACGGUGAUGGAUGAACAUGCGACUGAUUAGUUAGUUGGUGAGGUAACGGCUCACCAAGACCACGAUCAGUAGGGGUACUGAGAGGUUAAACCCCCACACUGGUACUGAGACACGGACCAGACUCCUACGGGAGGCAGCAGUAAGGAAUAUUGGACAAUGGCCGCAAGGCUGAUCCAGCCAUGCCGCGUGCAGGAAGACGGACCUAUGGUUUGUAAACUGC
This 391-nucleotide ribosomal RNA is filed under the name uncultured organism. Its description in RNAcentral is "bacterial SSU rRNA". It matches the Rfam family "Bacterial small subunit ribosomal RNA", at positions 45 to 433 of the family's 1533-position model. The record is from RNAcentral.